This 76-nucleotide transfer RNA is filed under the name Acidimicrobiales bacterium. RNAcentral describes it as "tRNA-Ile". It matches the Rfam family "tRNA". Rfam says of the family: Transfer RNA (tRNA) molecules are approximately 80 nucleotides in length. Their secondary structure includes four short double-helical elements and three loops (D, anti-codon, and T loops). Lineage: Bacteria; Bacillati; Actinomycetota; Acidimicrobiia; Acidimicrobiales. The record is from RNAcentral.
GGGCCUGUAGCUCAGUGGUCAGAGCAGGCGACUCAUAAUCGCUUGGUCGCGGGUUCGAUCCCCGCCAGGCCCACCA